Molecule: unclassified non-coding RNA, 355 nt
Filed under: soil metagenome
Description: partial contains 5.8S ribosomal RNA, internal transcribed spacer 2, and large subunit ribosomal RNA
Rfam family: 5.8S ribosomal RNA (bases 6-121)
Source: RNAcentral
GAUGAAAGAACGUAGCGAAAUGCGAUAAGUAGUGUGAAUUGCAGAAUUCAGUGAAUCAUCGAAUCUUUGAACGCACAUUGCGCCUCCUGGUAUUCCGGGAGGCAUGCCUGUUCGAGCGUCAUUAAAAUCACUCAAGCUUAGGUUUACCUAUUGCUUGGUCUUGGAGAUGGAAGCCAAUUUAUUGGAAUCCUCUUCGAAAUUCAAUGGCGAAGACCCUUGCUCUCCCAAGUGUAGUAAUAACUUAUGUCACUGAAGGAAGCGAGAAAUCUUCUGCCGUAACCCCCAUAUUUUCUAUGAUUGACCUCGGAUCAGGUAGGGAUACCCGCUGAACUUAAGCAUAUCAAUAAGCGGAGGA